RNAcentral lists this long non-coding RNA (223 nucleotides) under Homo sapiens (human). RNAcentral describes it as "LHRI_LNC35.1". The record is from RNAcentral. Lineage: Eukaryota; Metazoa; Chordata; Mammalia; Primates; Hominidae.
ACUUAGCGUUGUGCCUGGCACAUAGUGUAUGGUGGAUAAAUGGGACUUAGGACUAAAACUCAUGCCUUGGUGUGUUUUUGCAGUGAUGUUUUGUUCUGGGGUGCAUCACAAGAGACAAGGUUCUUGGCCGGGCAUGGUGGCUCAAGCCAAUAAUCCCAGCACUUUGAGAGGCCGAAGGGGGAGGAUCGCUUGAGCCCAGGAGUUUAAGACCAGCCUGGGCAAC